GGAGGCACCCUGAGCAGCAUAGAUGGGUUAAGCAAACAGGUCUAAGUUUGGGGUGGCUGCAAGGGGAACCGCGUGGGGUUUCAAGAGAAGGGAGCCUGCAGAACUGAAGCCUUCCUACUCCUGGAAAGCAGCAGCAGCAGAAGCAGCAAUGCGUGAUGAAAGCUUAAGGGAGGGUCUUUGUAAAGAUUGGGUAUUCCCUGAAGACCUGCUCUCCACAACUUCUGGAUUCUUGGCCCUACCCUAAAUUUGUGUUGUACCGCAGCUAGAGGCUGUACCUCAGAAGAGAGAAGCUACCACUUUGCAGAGCAGGAAAGGCUCCUCGGCUGAUGCAGUCGUGAGGAGUUGCUGGGAAGAGGAGACUGUACCAAGAAGAG
This is a non-coding RNA of Mus caroli (Ryukyu mouse), 374 nucleotides long. The record is from RefSeq and is a predicted model, not a curated record. Lineage: Eukaryota; Metazoa; Chordata; Mammalia; Rodentia; Muridae.